Esox lucius (northern pike) is the source of this 1950-nucleotide long non-coding RNA. NCBI's taxonomy places the organism in Eukaryota, Metazoa, Chordata, Actinopteri, Esociformes, Esocidae. The record is from Ensembl.
CUCUUGACCAUCAGGACGUCAUUGGCGCGCGGGGUCCGCCCAGUCCCCUCCCACUACAUCGUAGUGGGCUGCGGUGCGCUCACAUCUGCCUGCCUUUGGUUUCUCUAGGAUCAGCAGGCCUAGAUCUCUGUAAAAUUCAAAAUAUAAUUUUAUGUAACAAAUAUUUUUUAAUAAUGACAUGGUUUCCAACAUAAAUUAUUUUACAAAAUUAAUUGAUUAGGCUGCUUUAUUUUUUUAAAUUGUUUUUUUUGGAAUAGCGGUAGCCUAAGCAAUAGGCCAAUAAUCUAUAGGACUUUUUAAAGAUUAAUAUUAUUUAUUUUUGCAUCACCAAUAUUUCUUCAGAAACCGACUUGAAUAAGCAUGCUUUAGUUAAUUGAACAUUAUAUACAGAACACGUUUUCCAAUUAGCUGAUAAGCAGACAGCAAAUUGCACUACAAUGAGUUAUUAAAAUGUGGAAUAUGUUUAAAAUUCUUAAAAUUUACGUAUUUGAAGCAAAAUUGCUCUUUAUUCAAAACCAAGCUGCUGAUUUCUUUAAAAAGAUAGACAGGAACAUGGGCAGGAUGUUUAUACAGCAAAACGUAAACAUUUUCCCUGGCCUUCUUUAAAUAAAAAAAAUCAAGCAAAAAGCCCCGCUAGAUCAGCUAAUACUCAAUCUGAUGCAUUAUGUCCGUUUUAGACAGCGCCUUGUGUGUGAAUAUGACUUUACAACAGAAAGCAAGUAAGCUUUUUCAAUUAUGUAUAGUGAUUAUAUUAUAUUCACACAGAAGAACUGGAGGAAGAGUGCCCUGUGCCUAUUCCAGAACUCCAAGCACUGAAAUUCAGAUGAGGACUUCAGAUCGUCUUCCACCAAACUAUUUCAGAAUGCUGCUCAAAUCAAGGCUGAAAUGUGCAAGCUUGAUGGUUUGACCACAGGAAGCUGUGAACUCCGCUGAGAAUUGAGGUUUCAGGGCCCUGAAGGCGACUAGGGGCAUCUACUGUACCUUGUUAAAUCCCAUAAUCCUGCUGGAUGACCCUUGACCCCGGCGUGUUUAUAUCAGGCCAUCGAUGUGAGAAAUCAUGAUGAGUCACUCUGGUGGUGUGUUUACGUUCUGGAGUCACGCAAGGAAGGAAAUAAGGCACGGUCUGCUAAAAGUGGCGAGGUGAGAGAGAAUAGCAGAAGUCCGGGAGCAGAGGCGUGAUUCAUCUCACCGUGACUGGCCUCUUAUACCGUUACAUACUGUUACACUUGGUUUAUUUAACCUGUUCACUUCUGUAGGUACACUCUAGCUACAUAUCAGCCACAACAAGGACCCAAUAGCCUACUUUGUUAAAAUAUCACAUGUAGAAAUUUAGAAGUGUAAUUCUGUAAAUUAGGUCUGAGUUGAGGAGUGAAAUGAUCCUUGUAAUAUAUAUGUCAUACGUGGAUUCGUCUUGUUUUGGAAUACACAUAAUAUGUUGGUAGAUUAUAGACACAGCAGCAUGUAUUAUUUUUAUGUAAAACAUUUACGAUUAGUGUGUUUAAAUCAUUCAGUUUUUUUUGUGCAAUGUCCAAUACAAUUAAAUCAGCAGAGAUAUUGAAAAGCAUGUCUUUGUAUUGUGCAAUCAUUUCAAAUGAUAUGUUCAUGCCGUUUUUCGGUUUAUGAAUGGGAAAUAAUUUCUCACCCUGUCAAACACAGAUUAAUACAUUCAUCUCCUUCAUCACCUUCCAGUGUGACAGUAGACAGCACUCCUUAAUAGAUAUUUUUUGGAGGGGUACUUACAUUGGGCUUAAGAAGAAUAUACUGUAUGUUGAAACUGUAAUGAGUAUGCAACCUAGCCAGCUCCUGUGAUUGAAAUACAAUGUCCUGGCCUGUCAUGAUGCUUUAGCCUUCCACACUGUGGGCUUGUGUGAUUGCACAAUUGUUGUUUUUGAGCCUGUGCCCACUAUACUUUUACUCUGUAAAUAAAUAUGGGCACUGAGUUGACAAUUC